GAUGAACGCUAGCUACAGGCUUAACACAUGCAAGUCGAGGGGAAACGAUAGAGAAAGCUUGCUUUUUCUAGGCGUCGACCGGCGCACGGGUGAGUAACGCGUAUCCAACCUGCCCAUCACUUGGGGAUAACCUUGCGAAAGUAAGACUAAUACCCAAUGACGUCUCUAGAAGACAUCUGAAAGAGAUUAAAGAUUUAUCGGUGAUGGAUGGGGAUGCGUCUGAUUAGCUUGUUGGCGGGGUAACGGCCCACCAAGGCGACGAUCAGUAGGGGGUCUGAGAGGAAGGUCCCCCACAGUGGAACUGAGACACGGUCCAAACGCCUACGGGAGGCAGCAGUGAGGAAUAAUGGUCAAUGGGCGAGAGCCUGAACCAGCCAAGUAGCGUGCAGGAUGACGGCCCUAUGGGUUGUAAACUGCUUUUAUAAGGGAAUAAAGUGAGUCUCGUGAGACUUUUUGCAUGUACCUUAUGAAUAAGGACCGGCUAAUUCCGUGCCAGCCGCCGCGGUAA
Molecule: ribosomal RNA, 508 nt
Filed under: uncultured bacterium
Lineage: Bacteria
Description: partial 16S ribosomal RNA
Rfam family: Bacterial small subunit ribosomal RNA
Source: RNAcentral